ACAGCAGUCGCCGCGGGAAUACGUAGGGUGCAAGCGUUAAUCGGAAUUACUGGGCGUAAAGCGUGCGCAGGCGGUUUGUUAAGACAGAUGUGAAAUCCCCGGGCUCAACCUGGGAACUGCAUUUGUGACUGGCAAGCUAGAGUCUGGCAGAGGGGGGUGGAAUUCCGCGUGUAGCAGUGAAAUGCGUAGAUAUGCGGAGGAACACCGAUGGCGAAGGCAGCCCCCUGGGCCAACACUGACGCUCAUGCACGAAAGCGUGGGGAGCAAACAGGAUUAGAUACCCCCGUAGUCCCUGUCUCUUAUAC
This 305-nucleotide ribosomal RNA is filed under the name uncultured bacterium. Its description in RNAcentral is "partial 16S ribosomal RNA". It matches the Rfam family "Bacterial small subunit ribosomal RNA", at positions 508 to 807 of the family's 1533-position model. The record is from RNAcentral.